AUUGAACGCUGGCGGCAGGCCUAACACAUGCAAGUCGAACGGAGCGGCGGACGGGGGAGUACGGCCUAGGAAUCUGCCUGGGCGUGGGGGAUAACGUCCGGAAACGGGCGCUAAUACCGCCUACUCUCAGAUGAGCAUAGGUGGGAUUGGCUAGUUGGUGGGGUAAAGGCAUACCAAGGCGACGAUCCGUAGCUGGUCUGAGAGGAUGAGCAGUCACACUGGAACUGAGACACGGUCCAGACUCCUACGGGAGGCAGCAGUGGGGAAUAUUGGACAAUGGGCGAAAGCCUGAUGCAGCCAUGCCGCGUGUGUGAAGAAGGUCUUCGGAUUGUAAAGCACUUUAAGUUGGGAGGCGUUACCAACAGAAUAAGCACCGGCUAACUUCGUGCCAGCAGCCGCGGUAAUUC
This 407-nucleotide ribosomal RNA is filed under the name uncultured bacterium. RNAcentral describes it as "partial 16S ribosomal RNA". It matches the Rfam family "Bacterial small subunit ribosomal RNA", at positions 30 to 526 of the family's 1533-position model. The record is from RNAcentral.